CAGAGGGUGCGAGCGUUGUUCGGAAUCACUGGGCGUAAAGCGCGCGCAGGCGGGCGUGUAAGUCAGAAGUGAAAUUCCGGGGCUCAACCCCGGAGCUGCUCCUGAUACUGCAGGUCUGGAGACCGGUAGAGGCUGGUGGAAUUCCCGGUGUAGCGGUGGAAUGCGUAGAGAUCGGGAAGAACACCCGUGGCGAAGGCGGCCAGCUGGGCCGGUUCUGACGCUGAGGCGCGAAAGCGUGGGGAGCAAACAGGAUUAGAUACCCUGGUAGUCCACGCUGUAAACGAUGGGCACUAGGUGCCGGGGGGAGCGACCCCUUCGGUGCCGCAGCUAACGCGUUAAGUGCCCCGCCUGGGGAGUACGGCCGCAAGGCUG
RNAcentral lists this ribosomal RNA (372 nucleotides) under uncultured organism. RNAcentral's name for it is "bacterial SSU rRNA". It matches the Rfam family "Bacterial small subunit ribosomal RNA", at positions 526 to 896 of the family's 1533-position model. The record is from RNAcentral.